CCAAAAGCCUUAAAAAGCAGUUGCUGGGGAAGAGGUGAGAUAUGCUGAUAUAUAAAACACAGAAUUUAAUUUAGACUACAUAUUGUAAAGGUAAUAUUAUUCACUCACAGUUGCUUAUGCAACUGAAUUUUUUUUCUACAGAUAGAGAAACAGAGAAACAUGAGAGAAACAGAGAAACAUGCUUACAAGUAAUAGACUGAAACAAUCUGAAAUUCAGUGCAGAACAUCAAUCAAAACGUUGCAGGAAACAGUUCAUUUGCGGGACGGGACUCUCUGA
RNAcentral lists this long non-coding RNA (277 nucleotides) under Astyanax mexicanus (Mexican tetra). RNAcentral's name for it is "lncRNA (ENSAMXG00005007528.1)". Lineage: Eukaryota; Metazoa; Chordata; Actinopteri; Characiformes; Acestrorhamphidae. The record is from RNAcentral.